This 643-nucleotide ribosomal RNA is filed under the name Garyops depressus. Its description in RNAcentral is "SSU rRNA". It matches the Rfam family "Eukaryotic small subunit ribosomal RNA", at positions 1144 to 1804 of the family's 1831-position model. Lineage: Eukaryota; Metazoa; Arthropoda; Arachnida; Pseudoscorpiones; Sternophoridae. The record is from RNAcentral.
UUAAAGGAAUUGACGGAAGGGCAACUCCAGGAGUGGAAGCCUGCGGCUUAAUUUGACUCAACACGGGAAAACUUACCCGGCCCGGACACCGGAAGGAUUGACAGAUUAAUAGCUCUUUCUUGAUUCGGUGGGUGGUGGUGCAUGGCCGUUCUUAGUUGGUGGAGCGAUUUGUCUGGUUAAUUCCGAUAACGAACGAGACUCUAGCCUACUAAAUAGACCCACGAUCCAUUGUAUCGUGAGCGGGUCUUCUUAGAGGGACAGGCGGCUUUUAGCCGCACGAAACAGAGCAAUAACAGGUCUGUGAUGCCCUUAGAUGUCCGGGGCCGCACGCGCGCUACACUGAAGGAAUCAGCAUGUGUCUAACCUAGUCCGAAAGGACCGGGUAACCCUGUGAACCUCCUUCGUGAUAGGGAUAGGGGAUUGUAAUUAUUCCCCUCGAACGAGGAAUUCCCAGUAAGCGCGAGUCAUCAGCUCGCGUUGAUUACGUCCCUGCCCUUUGUACACACCGCCCGUCGCUACUACCGAUUGAAUGAUUUAGUGAGGUCUUCGGACUGGCCCAACGAACGGCCUCGGCCGCUCUCUGAGCCGGGAAGAUGACCAAACUUGAUCAUUUAGAGGAAGUAAAAGUCGUAACAAGGUUGCC